GUGGGGAAUAUUGGACAAUGGGCGAAAGCCUGAUCCAGCCAUGCCGCGUGUGUGAAGAAGGUCUUCGGAUUGUAAAGCACUUUAAGCUGGGAGGAAGGGCAGUAAGUUAAUACCUUGCUGUUUUGACGUUACCGACAGAAUAAGCACCGGCUAACUUCGUGCCAGCAGCCGCGGUAAUACGAAGGGUGCAAGCGUUAAUCGGAAUUACUGGGCGUAAAGCGCGCGUAGGUGGUUUUGUAAGUUGGAGGUGAAAUCCCCGGGCUCAACAUGGGAACUGCCCCCAAAACUGCAUGGCUAGAGUACGGUAGAGGGUAGUGGGAUUUCCUGUGUAGCGGUGAAAUGCGUAGGUAUAGGAAGGAACACCAGUGGCGAAGGCGGCUACCUGGACUGAUACUGACACUGAGGUGCGAAAGCGUGGGGAGCAAACAGGAUUAGAAACCCUGGUAGUCC
This 450-nucleotide ribosomal RNA is filed under the name uncultured bacterium. RNAcentral's name for it is "partial 16S ribosomal RNA". It matches the Rfam family "Bacterial small subunit ribosomal RNA", at positions 354 to 796 of the family's 1533-position model. The record is from RNAcentral.